This is a long non-coding RNA of Helicoverpa armigera (cotton bollworm), 442 nucleotides long. RefSeq lists it as uncharacterized. NCBI's taxonomy places the organism in Eukaryota, Metazoa, Arthropoda, Insecta, Lepidoptera, Noctuidae. The record is from RefSeq and is a predicted model, not a curated record. The transcript is spliced from 3 exons.
CAGUAAUUGAAAUGACUUCUGACAAUGUCUAGUUUAUACAAUUUAUUUCCACGAGCAGAGUACUUCACAAAUAUUUUCUUAUUUUAUAAUAAAGUAAAAUUAAGUAUAGAUAUACUAUAAUUUUUCUAGUAAGAAAAUGCCACUAGCUAUAAGUACAAGCCACUCACAGUCGAGAGCGAGACUUACCGUACUGAUGGCUCUUAAUAUAACGGGAGCCAUAUUAUGCAUAUGCUUAGAGAUCCUGUUGGUUCUAGCCGCUCUUGGAGUGAUUUUUCGAGAGCCUGAUGUUUCUCCAGUGAUUAAUUAUCAUAUUAAAUCAUUUUCUAAUGCGGAUUUUGACCAAAGCUUGCCUGCAAUUGAGGAUGGUAACCUAUUCUACCUAAGUAAUUUGGAUGUAUUCAAAACCGACAAACUGAAUAAAAACUAAUUUUGAUAAUUGGAA